AUUGAACGCUGGCGGCAGGCCUAACACAUGCAAGUCGAGCGGAUGAAGGGAGCUUGCUCCUGGAUUCAGCGGCGGACGGGUGAGUAAUGCCUAGGAAUCUGCCUGGUAGUGGGGGAUAACGUCCGGAAACGGGCGCUAGUACCGCAUACGUCCUGAGGGAGAAAGUGGGGGAUCUUCGGACCUCACGCUAUCAGAUGAGCCUAGGUCGGAUUAGCUAGUUGGUGGGGUAAAGGCCUACCAAGGCGACGAUCAGUAACUGGUCUGAGAGGAUGAUCAGUCACACUGGAACUGAGACACGGUCCAGACUCCUACGGAAGGCAGCAGUGGGGAAUAUUGGACAAUGGGCGAAAGCCUGAUCCAGCCAUGCCGCGUGUGUGAAGAAGGUCUUCGGAUUGUAAAGCACUUUAAGUUGGGAGGAAGGGCAGUAAGUUAAUACCUUGCUGUUUUGACGUUACCAACAGAAUAAGCACCGGCUAACUUCGUG
RNAcentral lists this ribosomal RNA (484 nucleotides) under uncultured bacterium. Its description in RNAcentral is "partial 16S ribosomal RNA". It matches the Rfam family "Bacterial small subunit ribosomal RNA", at positions 30 to 507 of the family's 1533-position model. The record is from RNAcentral.